ACGUAGGAUGCAAGCGUUAUCCGGAUUUAUUGGGCGUAAAGUGUCGUGUAGGUGGUUUGCCGCAUCGUGCCUGAAAGCCCGAGGCUUAACCUCGGCGUUGGGUACGAGAUGGGUAAACUAGAGGGGGGUAGAGGAAAGGGGAACUCAUGGUGAAGCAGUGAAAUGCGUUGAUAUCAUGAGGAACACCAAAGGCGAAGGCACCUUUCUGGACCUCUCCUGACACUGAGACACGAAAGCUAGGGGAGCGAAGCAGAUUAGAGACCUGCGUAGUCCUAGCCCUAAACGCAUGUCUGCUAGUUGCCCCGCGCAAGUGGGGUGACGCAAGCUAACGCGUUAAGCAGACCGCCUGGGGAGUACGAUCGCAAGAUUA
Molecule: ribosomal RNA, 370 nt
Filed under: uncultured bacterium
Lineage: Bacteria
Description: bacterial SSU rRNA
Rfam family: Bacterial small subunit ribosomal RNA
Source: RNAcentral